AGCGAACGCUGGCGGCAGGCUUAACACAUGCAAGUCGAGCGCUCGUAGCAAUACGAGAGCGGCAGACGGGAGAGUAACACGUGGGAACGUACCCUUUGGUUCGGAACAACACAGGGAAACUUGUGCUAAUACCGGAUAAGCCCUUACGGGGAAAGAUUUAUCGCCAAAGGAUCGGCCCGCGUCUGAUUAGCUAGUUGGGUGGGAACGGCUCACCAAGGCGACGAUCAGUAGCUGGCUGAGAGGAUGACCAGCCUCAUUGGGACUGAGACACGGCCCAAACUCCUACGGGAGGCAGCAGUGGGGAAUAUUNCACAAUGGGGCGGAAGGCCUGAUGCAGCGACGCCGCGUGAGGGAUGACGCCU
RNAcentral lists this ribosomal RNA (362 nucleotides) under uncultured bacterium. RNAcentral describes it as "bacterial SSU rRNA". It matches the Rfam family "Bacterial small subunit ribosomal RNA", at positions 29 to 416 of the family's 1533-position model. The record is from RNAcentral.